UGGUGCCCAAUGUGUGGGGCCCUGAUACAGGGUGCUUAUCAUGAGGAAGAAGAUCAGGUGGCCAGCAUUGUAUACAGAAAUUUCUUCAAACGUCUAGGGAGCCUGCUGUGGACAAAGCAAAGGUGAGCGAUAGAGUCUGAACAUGGGACAAACAUUAAGCCCACAUGAGGUCUAGGUGAAACAAUUAAAAGAGGCAUUAAAGGUACAAGAAGUAAAGGUAAAAUCCAAUGACUUGUUUAAAUUUUUUGAUUUUGUUUGUGAUCUUUGCCCUG
Rattus norvegicus (Norway rat) is the source of this 272-nucleotide non-coding RNA. Lineage: Eukaryota; Metazoa; Chordata; Mammalia; Rodentia; Muridae. The record is from Rfam.